This 753-nucleotide ribosomal RNA is filed under the name Triticum aestivum (bread wheat). RNAcentral's name for it is "partial small subunit ribosomal RNA". Lineage: Eukaryota; Viridiplantae; Streptophyta; Magnoliopsida; Poales; Poaceae. The record is from RNAcentral.
AUGGGUUACAUGGUGGUAGGCAUGUUGAUAUGCUUUUUAUGUGCAUCCGGCGAUCUCACUUCAGUACAUGCAUAUGGACGCAUGCAAAACAAUGGGACGUUUUUAACAUCGCCAAGAUCAGCCUCAUUUGUGUUAGCUGGGAGGAACAAAUACAAAGGAAACAAUGAUUACAAUCAUGUAGCUGGCUGGAUCACGCCAGCGAGCAGCUAUGGCGCUCGAGUUAAAAUAGGUAUAUGGGGUUCACAAGUGCAACGUCAUUCCCAAGAAUCUGGAGCAGCAAUAAGUAUCAGCACUGUUGAUCAAGAUGAGCCUUUCAAUAUGAUCGAAGCUGGAUUUCAUGUACUUCCUGAGUUAUAUAAUAAUAAUGAUGUCCAUUUCUUUAUACGAUGGACGAACGACGACCACAAAGCAACGGGUUGUUAUAAUUUGGAAUGCCAUGGUUUUGUGCCUGCUAGUGGAGCUGCACUUGUUCCAGGUCAAGCUGUUGCUCCUCCCUCAACUUACGGCCGGGACGACCGCUACAUAACAAUUAGCCUGCAUACAGAUGCAAACACGAGAGAUUGGGUGUUGUAUCGAGACGACUUGCAUAAACCUGCAUUUUUGGGGCAUUUUCCAAAAGAGCUUUGUCCUAGACUGUAUGGUAUAGCCCCCGGAGUAGCAUUGCUUGGAUUUGUCAAUUACCAGGAUAGGGAUAAAGGUGGUCCCGCAAUGGGUAGUGGUCAUUUUCCGGAAGAGGGCCAAAGGAAAGCAUAA